Molecule: long non-coding RNA, 391 nt
Filed under: Pan troglodytes (chimpanzee)
Lineage: Eukaryota; Metazoa; Chordata; Mammalia; Primates; Hominidae
Description: long non-coding RNA NONPTRT010166
Source: RNAcentral
GGGAAAAGGGAUAACUACUUCAGGCGUGACAUAGGGGUGGUAUGGGCACCUUGGAAAAAGAAAAAUUUUAUUUUUGGUGUAUUCUUAAGAGACGGGUUAGUAUCUAUAGUGUCAUUGUAGCAGGAGCAUCAUCUGGAUUGUCUGGCAGUUAACCGUAGUUUCAACAAGAGUUUGAUUACUGUCCUUACCAGCAUUUUAAAUCAUCCUAAAGAACCACCCUCCUAGAAGGUUUGUUGGGUCCCAUCCCUUCCAGCUUUGGACUGGUACAUGAGCUACUUUUCUUAUGUUUGAAGAGAUUUCUAGAACUGCUUUUCCAUUAUUGUCUAUGUUAAGACAGCAAUUAGAGAUAUUAAACUUACCACAGACUCCACCCUCUUUUGCUAAUAAGUAG